Molecule: long non-coding RNA, 712 nt
Organism: Dama dama (fallow deer)
Lineage: Eukaryota; Metazoa; Chordata; Mammalia; Artiodactyla; Cervidae
Exons: 2
Source: RefSeq, a predicted model, not a curated record
UGAGAAAUUAGAUAAAGAGCACAAUCCUGUGUGUGGAUCAGCAUUUCUAAAGAUCUCCUGUUCUCAAGAAGGUGAUGGGGUAAGAUGAGAUUCAGAAGAAAGGGAACUGCACAGGCAAAUAGAGUAAGAAGAGUGUAGCAUGCUGUUUAAUUUUCAUUCUGUUUUCACAAGAAGGCAGAGUGCUAAAGAAUUGAUGCUUUCAAACUACGGUGUUGGACAAGACUUGAGAGUCCCUUGGACAGCAAGGGGAUCAAUCCAGUGAAUCCUAAAGGAAAGCAACUCUGAAUACUCAUUGAAGGACUGAUGCUGAAGCUAAAGUUCCAAUACUUUGGCUACCUGUUGUAAACAGCCAACACACUGGAAAAGACCCUGAUGCUUGGAAAGAAUGAAGGCAGAAGAGGGUGACAGAGAGUGAGAUGGUUGGAUGGUAUCAGCGACUCAAUGGACAUGAACUUGGGCAAACUCUGGGAAAUGGUGAGGGACAGGGAGGCCUGGCAUGCUGCAGUCCAUGGAGUUGCAAAGAGUUGGACACAACUUGGCAACUGAACAACAUGUUUUCAGAUGUAAAUCAUUUUAGAAUUUGGAUGCAGUCAAACUUGUCAUUUCCUCCUUUAAAUUUUUGUUUUUAAAAUUUUUGUAUCCUAAACUAGAAGGUCUUUAACCCAAUGAUGAUAUCUUCAAGUUUUUAAAUAAAUUUUAUGGCUUAAAAAUA